RNAcentral lists this ribosomal RNA (277 nucleotides) under Hemiselmis andersenii. RNAcentral describes it as "partial Bacterial large subunit ribosomal RNA". It matches the Rfam family "Bacterial large subunit ribosomal RNA", at positions 2262 to 2538 of the family's 2925-position model. Lineage: Eukaryota; Cryptophyceae; Cryptomonadales; Hemiselmidaceae. The record is from RNAcentral.
UGGGCAGUUUGACUGGGGCGGUCUCCUCCCAAAGCGUAACGGAGGAGUUCGAAGGUACGCUAGUUACGGUCGGAAAUCGUGACGAUAGUGCAUUGGCAUAAGCGUGCUUGACUGCGAGACUGACAAGUCGAGCAGGUACGAAAGUAGGACAAAGUGAUCCGGUGGUUCUGUAUGGAAGGGCCAUCGCUCAACGGAUAAAAGGUACUCUGGGGAUAACAGGCUGAUACCGCCCAAGAGUUCAUAUCGACGGCGGUGUUUGGCACCUCGAUGUCGGCUC